RNAcentral lists this transfer RNA (85 nucleotides) under Oceanicella actignis. It matches the Rfam family "tRNA". Rfam says of the family: Transfer RNA (tRNA) molecules are approximately 80 nucleotides in length. Their secondary structure includes four short double-helical elements and three loops (D, anti-codon, and T loops). Lineage: Bacteria; Pseudomonadati; Pseudomonadota; Alphaproteobacteria; Rhodobacterales; Paracoccaceae. The record is from Rfam by way of RNAcentral.
GGAAGGGUGGCAGAGCGGUCGAAUGCGGCGGUCUUGAAAACCGUUGAUGCGCAAGCAUCCGUGGGUUCGAAUCCCACCCCUUCCG